Molecule: transfer RNA, 67 nt
Filed under: Lepidurus apus lubbocki
Lineage: Eukaryota; Metazoa; Arthropoda; Branchiopoda; Notostraca; Triopsidae
Description: tRNA-Asp
Source: RNAcentral
AGAAAUCUAAUUUAACAAAAAAAUAUAAGUUUGUCAAGCUUAAAAUGUCUAAUUAAGACGAUAUCUA